Gossypium raimondii (Peruvian cotton) is the source of this 1021-nucleotide long non-coding RNA. RefSeq lists it as uncharacterized. NCBI's taxonomy places the organism in Eukaryota, Viridiplantae, Streptophyta, Magnoliopsida, Malvales, Malvaceae. The transcript has 3 exons. The record is from RefSeq and is a predicted model, not a curated record.
AAUAUUCUUUUUUUCCCCUUCUUUUUCCCAAAAUCGAUUCCCCCCAUCCCCAAAAAUCUUUCUUUUUUCCCCAUUUUAUUUUUCCCAAACCAUUUCUUCCAUACCCCGAUUCCCUUUAUUUUUCCCCCCAAUUUCCCCAAAUUGGCAGCCCUCUACAUCUCCUCAAAGGGUACAGAUUCUUCUUCUCUUAUAGUUAAAAAGUUGUCAUUUUUCAACCAAAUACAAACCCUAAACUGCGUCUCUCCCAAUUUCUUCUUCACUUUGAGGUUUUCUUGCAAUAGUUUAUAGAGAGGUGAGACCAAGUAAUUUUGGGUUACAACAGAGAAACCAAAGUAACAAAAAAGGUGGAUAUAGAUGGGAUAUUGGGUAACCGAGAUUCGAAGCUAGGCAAAUCAAGCAUACCCAGGAGACGACAAUGGGUUAAAAGAAGAGAAACAUGACUGGUUAUACUUGGUGUCAUCCUCAAUGCCGUUUACAUGUUAAGCAUUUUCGACAUCUACUUCACGACCCCCUUUGUUCAUGGCCUGGAUCUUGUCUCAUAUCGCUUCUCUCCUCCUGCUAAACGACUUGUUCUUCUUGUUGCCAUGCUUUCAAUAAUAUGUUAGAUGGGUUGAACAUGUUUGAUGGAACUGAUGGUCAUUACUUUCACACGGGGUCAAGGGGUCACCACUCGGUUUGGGAUUCUCGUCUUUUUAAUUAUGGAAGCUGAGAAGUACUGAGGUAUCUUCUUUCAAAUGCAAGAUGGUGGCUGGAGGAGUAUAAGUUUGAUGGGUACAAAUUUGAUGGUGUGACUUCAAUGAUGUACAAGAUUUCCUUGAUUAAGUAAAUGUAUUAUAUCUUUUAUUACCAAGAUUUACUUGAUUAAGAAAAUGCAUUUUAUGUUUUAUUACGUUGCAUAUGUAUUAUUUAUUUUAGUUUUGAUUCUAAAUUUUUAUUUUUACUUAAGAGUUCUAACUUUUGGAUUUUAAUUGUGUUAUUAAUUUAUUAUUUUAAAUUCUAAAUUUAAAUUCAUUAAUUUUUA